UACGAAGGGGACUAGCGUUGUUCGGAAUUACUGGGCGUAAAGCGCACGUAGGCGGAUUUAUAAGUCAGGGGUGAAAUCCCGGGGCUCAACCUCGGAACUGCCUUUGAUACUGUAGAUCUCGAGUCCGAUAGAGGUGGGUGGAAUUCCUAGUGUAGAGGUGAAAUUCGUAGAUAUUAGGAAGAACACCAGCGGCGAAGGCGGCAUCCUGGACUGGUCCUGACACUCAGGAGCGAAAGCGCGGGGAGCGAUCCGG
This 253-nucleotide ribosomal RNA is filed under the name uncultured bacterium. Its description in RNAcentral is "partial 16S ribosomal RNA". It matches the Rfam family "Bacterial small subunit ribosomal RNA", at positions 524 to 776 of the family's 1533-position model. The record is from RNAcentral.